Oreochromis niloticus (Nile tilapia) is the source of this 1680-nucleotide long non-coding RNA. RefSeq lists it as uncharacterized. The transcript has 4 exons. The record is from RefSeq and is a predicted model, not a curated record. NCBI's taxonomy places the organism in Eukaryota, Metazoa, Chordata, Actinopteri, Cichliformes, Cichlidae.
GUCCUUUUUUUUCAAAGUCAGUCUUUAUUUCAAAAUCCCGUUUUUCCUGAUGGCCUAUUUAUUUCAUAAUGCGACUUUUCAGCAGAAUGACUUUGUCUGUCAAUCAAGAGAGACAGGGCGGAGCCAGUUGUGUGAUUGGUUGCUCCUUUACUCAGACAUAAGUAAUAGCACAUGAAGUGUCGAUUUAGGUUUAAUGGUGCAAUGCGUCUCCUAUGCAGCCAGCGGCAGUAUGCAGCUCAAAAUAACGUUAAGGCACCGACAAAUGCAAAACACUGGGCGCGAAUAACGUUACAGGUGUAUCAAUGCUUGUGAAGGGCAUGACUGCAGGAGACAAGUCCAUUCUGAGUUACUCAGAGAACUUGCUAACCGCUUAGAUUGUACGUCUUCACCUCAGUUUGAGAGAGUAUUGCAGCAGCGUACUGGAGAUGAUGCGGUCCCUGGUCCAAGUUCUCAUCACAACCGCACAGUGUUAACGUUAGCAAAUGCUAACGCUAUCACAGCUAGCUCCACUCCACGAAAACGCUGUUCAGGGUCAUAACACGAACAAGUCGUCAAGUCAAGCAGCUGAGGAAAGGGCUUAAGGAGACCAUGGUAUGGCCGCUUCUGACAGAAAGAUCAGACAUCAUUCCUCUUUUCUUACCAAGGGAAUCAGAGACUGCUCCCUGUUGUGAGACGCUCUUAAGACUACAAGAUAAGUAAAGCUAUAAAAUGACUGUGGCCUGCCACAGAAGAUGAAGAAGAGGAAUGCUCUCGAGGAUAAAUGCAGAGUGGCAGGUUACCUUCGGUCCUUCACUGAAAAUGCAUCUUGUGCACAACGAAAAGCCCUCAUCAAGUUUUGGACAGGAUGGGAAGUCUUGCCGAGAGAAAUGACUGUGGAAGUGGUCAACAGCAGGCUUCCAAAGUCUUCCACCUGUUUUGACGUACUACGUCUUCCUGCACACUACUGUACCUAUGAGUCAUUUCUAAUGGACAUUCAGGUGUGUCUCAACUCUACUGACUCAGGUUUUGGUCUGGUUUAGGAUUGAUUCCAUAACCACAUGGUAAGAUUAGACCAUUUCUUCUUUCUUGCAUCACAUUACUGUAUUCAGUGUUCAAAGAAACGGACAAUCUAGUGAGUUCUAGUUCCUUUUAAUACACUUGACAGUGAAAAAUGCACAGUACAGGUGAGCAUUUAUGGCUUUUUUUAAUAUAAACUGACAAAGAGUUCAGAAAACAAAAUCAGUUGUUCACUGUACAUUAUAAAUUACACAGUAUGUUUUGUUUAUACUCGCUACUGGUACAAAAAAAUUUUGUAGAAAAAAUUAUUUGAAUUAAGAUGUUACACUACUGUACUGUGUUCAUUGUAUUAAAUCUGCUCAGAGUUGACAUGUACUGUACAUCCAACCAAGAAAUGAAUAUCAUUAAAGUGACAGCUGUGUAAAACAAAUCGUGUUUUAUAGCCACUCUGUUUUGUUGAAAAUGAAAUUGGUUAUGCUGUUUUGAGUCAAUAUUAGCUACAAAGCCAUAGAUGUAGAAAUUUAAAAAAAAAUCCUCCUGACAUAGAAACUGAUUAAAUGUGAUAGUGUCUUUCUACAAGUGAUUUUGAAGUAUGGUUAUGCAAGAAAUAGGGUGUGAACAUAUUGCACCUGCUUACUUUGAAGAGUUAAGGUGUGGUAUCAAACAUAAGUUUGAGUGACUGAA